Molecule: ribosomal RNA, 253 nt
Filed under: uncultured bacterium
Lineage: Bacteria
Description: partial 16S ribosomal RNA
Rfam family: Bacterial small subunit ribosomal RNA
Source: RNAcentral
UACGUAGGGUGCAAGCGUUGUCCGGAAUUAUUGGGCGUAAAGAGCUCGUAGGCGGUUUGUCACGUCGGAUGUGAAAACCCGAGGCUUAACCUCGGGCCUGCAUUCGAUACGGGCUGACUAGAGUUCGGUAGGGGAGACUGGAAUUCCUGGUGUAGCGGUGAAAUGCGCAGAUAUCAGGAGGAAUACCAGCGGCGAAGGCGGCGCUCUGGGCCGGUACUGACGCUGAGGAGCGAAAGCGUGGGUAGCAAACAGG